AGUGAACGCUGGCGGUAGGCCUAACACAUGCAAGUCGAACGGCAGCACAGUAAGAGCUUGCUCUUACGGGUGGCGAGUGGCGGACGGGUGAGGAAUACAUCGGAAUCUACUUUUUCGUGGGGGAUAACGUAGGGAAACUUACGCUAAUACCGCAUACGACCUACGGGUGAAAGCAGGGGAUCUUCGGACCUUGCGCGAUUGAAUGAGCCGAUGUCGGAUUAGCUAGUUGGCGGGGUAAAGGCCCACCAAGGCGACGAUCCGUAGCUGGUCUGAGAGGAUGAUCAGCCACACUGGAACUGAGACACGGUCCAGACUCCUACGGGAGGCAGCAGUGGGGAAUAUUGGACAAUGGGCGCAAGCCUGAUCCAGCCAUACCGCGUGGGUGAAGAAGGCCUUCGGAUUGUAAAGCCCUUCUGUUGGGAAAGAAAAGCAGCAGGUUAAUACCCCGCUGUUCUGACGGUACCCAAAGAAUAAGCACCGGCUAACUUCGUG
Molecule: ribosomal RNA, 492 nt
Filed under: uncultured bacterium
Lineage: Bacteria
Description: partial 16S ribosomal RNA
Rfam family: Bacterial small subunit ribosomal RNA
Source: RNAcentral